This is a long non-coding RNA of Homo sapiens (human), 1021 nucleotides long. Ensembl annotates it as long intergenic non-protein coding RNA 2237. The record is from Ensembl. NCBI's taxonomy places the organism in Eukaryota, Metazoa, Chordata, Mammalia, Primates, Hominidae.
UCUCUCUUAGGGAAAACCAGCACCAAAGUUCUAGAGUCUGGACGUCUGAGAUCAGGGUGCCAGCACUGUCGAGGUCACAGACUGCAGACCUCCUUGUAUCUUCAAAUGGAGGAAAGAGGACAAGAGAGCUCCUGUGGUCCCUUUUAUCAAGAUGAAUGCACAAGGAAAAUGUUGUACAUUUGCACAUUGGAGUACACUUCAGCCAUAAAAAGAAUGAGAUGCUGUCAUUUGCAACAACAGUUGAAGCCUAGUCAAGAAGAGGGCUCAGAGAAGCUUGACUAAAGUUUCAUGAAGAGAGUCUCUGUCAGUGGUGGGUCUUUGAUUCUCAAGGAAGCUGUCAGAAGCUUCAUCUAACUUCUCUUCCACUCUACUUUCUUCUGGGGAAGAAGUGACCCAACAAUUUGAUCUAAUAUUUGCCUGAUAAUAUUGAACAUCCUUGCAUCCAUUAAAGUUUACUGUUCUAAGACUUACUUUAACCAAGGUCAACAGCAAUCUGAGACACACUCUUCUCAUGGCAGAUUAUGGGACCAUAAAGCAGGAGAAGAGAAAGGAAGCUGCAGUCCCUGUAUAACUCCUAAAUUUUUAAUUUGGAGUUCCUCUUCUUCGGUGCAACAAUCUUUCUGCAUGCACAGAUCCAUGUGGCACUCAUCUCAUCAUUCUGAGGGAAGAAAGAUGCAUAGGGAAUGUUGCAUGUGGUUAUUUCUGCAGAACCCACAGAAAACAAUAAAGCACGAGAGAAAAGAGGAUGGCAGUUUACCCAGGAAACAUAGGUUGUGCAAAGCUUUGCAAUGAUACUCUCAAUUCAGAGCAAUGAAGAACAGAAUGCUGUCUUCCCAUAAUGAUGGCAUUCAAUUAUCACUAGACUUACAAGACUACAGAAAAUUUCUCAAGAACCAGUAAGGAUCAGACAGAGCCAAUGACAAUACUGAAGAAGCUUGCCAGUGGAGAAUGAAAGCUCAGUUACACAAAUUACGUUGUUGAACCAGUGCCAGAAAUAAAAUGUGAUGGACAAACUCAUUAA